This 659-nucleotide ribosomal RNA is filed under the name uncultured bacterium. Its description in RNAcentral is "bacterial SSU rRNA". It matches the Rfam family "Bacterial small subunit ribosomal RNA", at positions 788 to 1446 of the family's 1533-position model. The record is from RNAcentral.
UGGUAGUNCACGCCGUAAACGAUGAGUGCUAGGUGUUAGGCCCUUUCCGGGGCUUAGUGCCGGAGCUAACGCAAUAAGCACUCCGCCCGGGGAGUACGACCGCAAGGUUGAAACUCAAAGGAAUUGACGGGGGCCCGCACAAGCGGUGGAGCAUGUGGUUUAAUUCGAAGCAACGCGAAGAACCUUACCAGGUCUUGACAUCCCGAUGCUAUUCUUAGAGAUAGGAAGUUACUUCGGUACAUCGGAGACAGGUGGUGCAUGGUUGUCGUCAGCUCGUGUCGUGAGAUGUUGGGUUAAGUCCCGCAACGAGCGCAACCCUUAUUGUUAGUUGCCAUCAUUAAGUUGGGCACUCUAGCGAGACUGCCGGUAAUAAACCGGAGGAAGGUGGGGAUGACGUCAAAUCAUCAUGCCCCUUAUGACCUGGGCUACACACGUGCUACAAUGGUCGGUACAACGAGUUGCGAGCCGGUGACGGCAAGCUAAUCUCUGAAAGCCGAUCUCAGUUCGGAUUGGAGGCUGCAACUCGCCUCCAUGAAGUCGGAAUCGCUAGUAAUCGCGGAUCAGCACGCCGCGGUGAAUACGUUCCCGGGCCUUGUACACACCGCCCGUCACACCACGAGAGUUUGUAACACCCGAAGUCGGUGAGGUAACCUUUUAGG